This 482-nucleotide ribosomal RNA is filed under the name Burkholderiaceae bacterium 'ARUP UnID 285'. RNAcentral's name for it is "bacterial SSU rRNA". It matches the Rfam family "Bacterial small subunit ribosomal RNA", at positions 27 to 504 of the family's 1533-position model. Lineage: Bacteria; Pseudomonadati; Pseudomonadota; Betaproteobacteria; Burkholderiales; Burkholderiaceae. The record is from RNAcentral.
GAUUGAACGCUGGCGGCAUGCCUUACACAUGCAAGUCGAACGGCAGCGCGGACUUCGGUCUGGCGGCGAGUGGCGAACGGGUGAGUAACAUAUCGGAACGUGCCCUGGAGUGGGGGAUAACUAGUCGAAAGAUUAGCUAAUACCGCAUACGUCCUGAGGGAGAAAGUGGGGGAUCGCAAGACCUCAUGCUCGUGGAGCGGCCGAUAUCUGAUUAGCUAGUUGGUGGGGUAAAGGCCUACCAAGGCGACGAUCAGUAGCUGGUCUGAGAGGACGACCAGCCACACUGGGACUGAGACACGGCCCAGACUCCUACGGGAGGCAGCAGUGGGGAAUUUUGGACAAUGGGGGCAACCCUGAUCCAGCAAUGCCGCGUGUGUGAAGAAGGCCUUCGGGUUGUAAAGCACUUUUGUCCGGAAAGAAAUCGUCCUGGCUAAUAYCUGGGAUGGAUGACGGUACUGGAAGAAUAAGCACCGGCUAACUAC